AUAAGAGCUAUGGAAAUGGAAGGAUGGGGAAGUUCUGUUUCCAAUUUUCUUUUAUCAAGUCCAUAACUUGAUGAGAAAUGGGUUACAGAGUACUUCCCGAAGCCUCCCAUUUCUAUGGUUCUUGC
RNAcentral lists this microRNA precursor (125 nucleotides) under Asparagus officinalis (garden asparagus). RNAcentral's name for it is "miR2118b stem-loop (aof-MIR2118b)". Lineage: Eukaryota; Viridiplantae; Streptophyta; Magnoliopsida; Asparagales; Asparagaceae. The record is from miRBase by way of RNAcentral.